GCCUAAAGUCUCCAUCAUAUGCUCUUCACCAGAACCUGUCUUAUAAUGGUCAUGGAAACAGGCUUCGGAAGGGAGAUAUGAAAAGCUACCCUUCUCAUUGGUUUGGGCUGUGAAAUGAUGCUGUGCCACAUGCUGGAUGGCAGGAAGAUGGACAGGACGAUCCAGGGCCUCUCUGCUCAUUUCCCAGAGGGCAGGACUCAGUCCCUUGACUAGUGUGAGGAAAUAUUUCCUUUUUUGGGCAGUGGAUGUACACAUAAUUCUGGUUCAUGACUUCACAUUGUCAGUGUGGCAUACGCUUUUUCAAGCUGAAAGAACAGCAAGAAGACCAGCUUAAAAAAAAA
Long non-coding RNA from Vombatus ursinus (common wombat), 341 nucleotides. RefSeq lists it as uncharacterized. The record is from RefSeq and is a predicted model, not a curated record. NCBI's taxonomy places the organism in Eukaryota, Metazoa, Chordata, Mammalia, Diprotodontia, Vombatidae. The transcript has 4 exons.